This is a long non-coding RNA of Carassius gibelio (silver crucian carp), 915 nucleotides long. RefSeq lists it as uncharacterized. The record is from RefSeq and is a predicted model, not a curated record. NCBI's taxonomy places the organism in Eukaryota, Metazoa, Chordata, Actinopteri, Cypriniformes, Cyprinidae. The transcript is spliced from 4 exons.
UGUGAGGCUGCUGAUAGGAAAUGUGAGUUUAGCCAACCGCAGUGCAACAUGACGUGCAGAACUCGCUCACACUGCAUUAACAGCUACUGCAAGCAGCAGAUACCAGACGGAUGUCAUUUUGAAUUCAGCAGAUGAAUGGAUAACAAUGGGUUUAAAUCAAACUGAGGAUACUUCUGAUAGACUCAAUCUAAUCAACUUUUCAUUAUUCGUCGUGUUUUCCAUCUUUUGGAGUUUUGUUUUUUUCCUGGUAUUCAGUGUCUGCUUGUUUUUUUUUAUAUUUGGCAGAACAAAAGGUAAGUUAUAUCUUCCAACAUAACCUUCAUUCGGCUUAAUCAACAUGCAACACUUUAAUAUUAUAAAAUGAAAAAUGGUUCCUAUUUCCAAUUUCACAGGCAAAAAUCACAACCAAAUGGAGAGGAGGUAAAAUAUUUUCCUAUUUAACUACAUUAUAGCUCUAGCAAAUAAAAAAGAACAGCAGUGUGUUGACAAAGAGAAAGACAUGCAGAUAGCUUGAUUAUUGAUUAUUCAUUGGUUAUUGGUUAUGUUUUGAAAGGUCACAGACGCGGAUGUAUCUUUAAAUGAGGUCUCUGAAAAGAUGAAGAAAAGAGAAAAAAAUAAAAGUUACAAAGAGCGGGUAAACUCAGUGUACUAUGAGUGUUUUACAGAUCACCCACCACAGAGGAAACCAUCCACUUCAGAUUGUACAGUAUUGUACAAAUAUAUGGACUAGUCUUAAACAAAGAACUUUAGUCUUGUUUCAGUAAUAAGAAAUGUCUUAAUAACGCAUUAUAGUGAGUUCUAAGUGCAAACACCGUUUGUUUUCAUUGGUCAAGAUAGAGGGCCAUAAGAGGGCGCUGUUGCAAUACAUCACUAAUAAGGUGAGCUUCAUAAAUAACAAAUAUUAAACGAAUAGUU